UGAGUAACCUGCCCUUAACUCUGGGAUAAGCCUGGGAAACUGGGUCUAAUACCGGAUAUGACCUCCU
RNAcentral lists this ribosomal RNA (67 nucleotides) under uncultured bacterium. RNAcentral's name for it is "partial 16S ribosomal RNA". The record is from RNAcentral.